AGUCACCCGAAUACUAACCAUCCACACCUGUUCCCAAUCAGACCAUCAUCAGCACUCUAUUUAAGCACAGACCUCAGCCUCAGUCAGUGUCUAACCUCGAAUUAAGAAAGUGUAACUUACAUUUUCUCUAUGCUUACCUGUGAUGCUCCUGAAUGUCCUGUGUCCCACCUUGAGGAUUGUCUCCCUUUGCUACUUAUGCCAUUGCUGAGCAAUUUCAUUAUCCAGUUGGUUCAGAUGUGGAUGAACUGUAGAUGUAUGCAUACUGCCAGAGGACCUAAGACCUUCUUUUCCUUCCGUGUAUCAUGGAUCAUGGACCUCCAGGUGCCCUUGGGAAAAGCAACACUAUUUUAAAAACAGUUGAGCCACUGUCAUGCUACUGAAAAAUGUGGUUAAAGUGCAACACAGUACACAAAUAGUGCAGCAAGCCCUUCAGAUAAAAAUAAUAAUACAAUAAAGUUUAAAUUUA
Carassius auratus (goldfish) is the source of this 466-nucleotide long non-coding RNA. RefSeq lists it as uncharacterized. Lineage: Eukaryota; Metazoa; Chordata; Actinopteri; Cypriniformes; Cyprinidae. The record is from RefSeq and is a predicted model, not a curated record. The transcript is spliced from 3 exons.